GUCGCUAGUGUUGCCCUUGUUGUUUUUAUAACGUAAAACGAGGCGAAAAGUGCGAAACAAAUUGUAGCUGAUUAAUACUUCCUGUGAUUAUAUUCCUGUGAUUUCUUAUAUCAAAUUGAACUUCGUAACUUGUAUGCAUACUGUCAGUCAUUCCCAAAAGUUGACUUAGCGCUCAGUCACUUUCCCUCAAAUAGACCCAUCAUGUUGUCAAAAACCUAAAACUCAUAUGUGAAGCUCAAAUAUCGUGGAAUACAAAUGUGCGGAGACGAGGUAUUUCCCCAUUACUGCUACCAACCCCACCACGUCAAAUGCCUUACUAAAUUCAUCACCAUUCACCCAUAUGAUAAAGCAUCAGGAAAUUUACCUAAACCUGAGGAGUAAGGCUGUUGGUUGCUGUGAUUUCCAUUUUUACGGUUUUUUAUCAUGAAACUUUCAGUGAGCUUGUUACUUAAGAGCACGUAAUAGAUCCUUAAGCCAAUGCGUACCUUUGUCCAUGACGGAAGAGAGACUUCCAGCAAGUUUUGCUCCAUCCUCAUCUUCCCGACGUACACUCAUCUAGCUUCACUGCUUUUGCUGCUACAACUUGUCUUAUUUCACCGACGAGUUGGAACACUUCCGUGGUCGCUACCCUUUGCUGUUACACACUUGCAGUUACUUACCUCGGGAUUAUGGCCAGGUAAUGCAGAGGAAAUUUCGAGAAGAUGGACACCAUAACGUCGCCG
This is a long non-coding RNA of Daphnia pulex (common water flea), 722 nucleotides long. RefSeq lists it as uncharacterized. The record is from RefSeq and is a predicted model, not a curated record. NCBI's taxonomy places the organism in Eukaryota, Metazoa, Arthropoda, Branchiopoda, Diplostraca, Daphniidae. The transcript has 5 exons.